AUUUAUAUAGUUUAAUAAAAACAUUACAUUUUCAUUGUAAAAUUAGAAAUUUUUCUUAUAAAUU
This 64-nucleotide transfer RNA is filed under the name Olenecamptus subobliteratus. Its description in RNAcentral is "tRNA-Glu". Lineage: Eukaryota; Metazoa; Arthropoda; Insecta; Coleoptera; Cerambycidae. The record is from RNAcentral.